AUGAGAUCGCUGCCUAUUUUAGUUCUUUCCCUCCUGAUUCUUGUCCUUGCUGCCCAUGUAUCCCAAGCCGAUGACAAGGGCUCUUCGGUUGGAAAUGGGAAGGAUUCCCAUGACGGUGAUGGUCAUAAAUCAAAUGGUGUAGGGCCGGUGAAAAAACCAAAGUGCCCUAAGCCCGGACAUGGUUCGAAAAACCAUGACAAUGAUGGUCGAGGACCACCAGAAAAGGAGUGCGAUGAUGGAGAGACAACACCGUCAUCACCUGGGCCUUCCCCAGACCAAGGUAAUGGUUCACCAUCACCACCGCCAUCCCCAUCCUAUUCACCACCGGUGACUCCAUCACCUCCACCUUCGUCAGAAACUAGUCCUCCUACUACACCUCCACCCUACCAACCUAGCAAUCAAUCUCCUCCGCCGUCAUCCUCAAGCCCCCCACCAACACCUUCAUCUAGUCCACCUGUUACACCUCCAACCUACGAACCUAAUGAUCAAUCGCCACCGCCUCCAUCUAGUGUGCCCGCGGCACCUCCAAUGAACCCGACUAAUGAUCAGCCUCCUCCACCAACAACGUCAUCUAGCCCCCCACCAACACCUCCGUCUAGUCCCCCUGUUAUGCCUCCAUCCUACGAACCCAACGAUCAAUCGCCACCACCUACAUUGAAUCCUCCAUCCAUUCCAUCACCACCUCCAUCAAGCCCAACUGCGGCACCUCCUAUGAACCCGACUACUAAUCAGCCUCCCCCACCAUCAUCGUCAUCUAGCCCGCCACCAAUAGCUCCAACUACUCAACCACCUGCCUCUAGCCCACCUGCUACACCUCCAACAGACUCAACUGAUGAGGAAACUCCAACAUCACCACCAUCAUCUAGUCCACCACUAACUCUAUCAAGUCCUCCACCACCGUCAUCAAGUACACCACCGGCUCCAUCCAUUGCCACACCACCUUUGUCUAGUCCCCCCGCUACACCUCCAACGUACCAAGAUGAUGACCAGUCCCCUCCACCUCCACCAUCAUACAACCCGCCACCGACAGCUUUAGCUAGUCCUCCACCACCACCAUUGAGUCCGCCAGCAAUAGCACCAACCACUAGCGCACCUCCUCCAUCUACUUCCCCACCGCCUAUGUCUAGUCCACCAGCAACACCUCCAAUAGACUCAACUGAUGAGCAAACUCCAUCACCACCACCAUCUAGUCCACCAGUAGCUCUAUCAAGUCCUCCACCACCAUCAUCAAGUACACCACCGGCUCCAUCCAUUGCCACACCACCUUUGUCUAGUCCACCUGCUACACCUCCAACGUACCAAGCUAAUGACCAGUCCCCUCCACCUCCACCAUCAUAUAGUCUGCCGCCAUCAGCUUUAGCUAGUCCUCCACCACCACCAUUGAGUCCACCGGCAAUAGCACCAACCACUAGCGCACCUCCUCCAUCUACUUACCCAUCACCUAUGUCUAGUCCACCAGCAACACCUCCAACGGACUCAACUGAUGAGCAAACUCCAUCACCACCACCAUCUAAUCCACCAUAG
This 1524-nucleotide ribosomal RNA is filed under the name Triticum aestivum (bread wheat). RNAcentral's name for it is "partial small subunit ribosomal RNA". The record is from RNAcentral. Lineage: Eukaryota; Viridiplantae; Streptophyta; Magnoliopsida; Poales; Poaceae.